GGGAGCGGCCCUUCUGCGUCCAGGCUGCCGGCCGGCAGGUAUUUCCCUCAGUUGUGUGAUUCCGGCGGGGACCUCAGGCGGCCACGGGGUGCUAUAGCCUCUGGGCGGCUGCCGUCUUUGUGAUGUGAGUUUGUGACUGGAGGACUCAGGUUGUUCAGUGGAUCAUUUUAAUUUAAUGUUCAACAACAACAGUGAAUUAGUCUACAGCCUGUCGGCCUUCUCAGCCUCAACACUACCGUGACCUGCCUCACACACCUUUGGAGCAAAGUAGAUCAUACAUCUAAGAAGUGGAAGAGGAAAACAGACAGCGGAGAACUAGGUCUGGGUAUGAGGUGAGGCUGAACUGAAAAGCUGCACAAAGGACUUGCGUCUGCAGCGUCGGUAUAAGGAAGCCUGGAGAAGCCCAGCACGUCUCUGUCGAUCAGCAGAGCGCAGUGGAACAGCCAGAGACCAACAGAACAGCAGUGCUUAAGCGUUGUCUGGUUUCAGUCACUGGGAGAGCAUGUGACAGUGUAGAUCGCCGGACCCCCGGCCAGACACCGAGGUCACAGUUCUGGGAAGGGACCUGACAACAGGCUCUGAGUGCGCACCCAGCUAUUAAAGAAAAUACAUACAUAGUGGGAGACUUCAACACCCCACUCUCACCAAUGGACAGAUCAACAAGGCAAAAAAUAAACAAAGACACUAGAGCCCUUUUCCUCUCGCAUUUCCACCAGAUGUGGUGAAAACCAGCCAUCUGCAAAGGGGCCUGGGAAACAACUGAGCUGCUAGCAACACAGACUCAUCAGCAUAUUGACACCAGCCGAAGACCAGAGCUCACACUCUGAAAUCUGCAGGAACAGCAAGUGCUGGUGGGGAGGAAGGGCUCGUGGCAGCCAUGAAAUCAGCCCUAGCCUUGGUUACAGGAGCCGAAGCUGCUGCCUGAGAAUAUGGGGGUGCUUCUGGCUACUUAUCCUGGGGCAGUUUUCUAGAUUCUUGCUAUGAGUGAGACCAUCCGGUAUUUUCUUUUUCUUUUUGGCUUAUUUCGCUGAGCAUGAUCCCUUCCAGCGCCAUCCAUGAGCAACAGAAGUUUAUAAUCGAUACAGCACUUUUUGGAAGCUCCAGGACAACAGGCAUCAGAAUAUCCAAAAAAUAUUCUAACCUUUUACUCCCCAAGAUUCCUUUGUGAAAGCUGCUGAUGAAUUGACCUCCACCGUAAGUCGGGACUCGGAGACACCCCCACCUCCUCCGCCGCCAGGGACUUGUUCGUUCUUCCCACGAAGCAGGGAUUUUCUUAUGGACAAUGGUGGUCUGCAGCCACUCAGCACGUUUGACCAGCAGCUCUGAUGCGCACUCAGAACUCCAUGCUCCUAAGCAAAUGUGAAGUGAAUCAGCACCGAUGGCAGGGCCUAGGGUUAGCGUCUGCUGGACACGGCUUUGUACCUGGCACAAAGUAGGCAUCUGGUUCAUAUUUGCUGGAUGGCGUGUAUAUGGCAACACAUGGGGAUGAUGGAAAAUUUCUAAGGAUGGAAAACCGACUAUUAUACAGUUAAUGGAGGACUCACGACGUCUGCCAGAUCGGAAGCCUGACCUCAGGCUCCCCAGCCCCCGCUGGAGAAGGCGCCACGAACCCCAGAGGCUGUAAGUGGCAGAGAGUUUCAGGGCCUGAUUUUCUGCUCACAGCAGCAUAAGACCUAAUUUUCUUUAAAAGCAGCCCUGAGGCCAGGACUUCUCUGCUAUGCUGUAAGCGUCUCUAAUUUGGACUCUGCCUAUUGUCUCAGAGGUUAUUUUUCCUCUGCUUGUGGAGCUGGAGCUGGA
Molecule: long non-coding RNA, 1797 nt
Organism: Talpa occidentalis (Iberian mole)
Lineage: Eukaryota; Metazoa; Chordata; Mammalia; Eulipotyphla; Talpidae
Exons: 11
Source: RefSeq, a predicted model, not a curated record